UGCUCCGUAGCUCAAUCGGCAGAGCACUGGUUUCUGGUACCAGGGGCUGAAGGUUCGAAUCCUUCCGGAGCAGCCG
Molecule: transfer RNA, 76 nt
Filed under: Bacteroidetes bacterium QS_8_68_28
Lineage: Bacteria; Pseudomonadati; Bacteroidota
Description: tRNA-Gln
Rfam family: tRNA
About the family: Transfer RNA (tRNA) molecules are approximately 80 nucleotides in length. Their secondary structure includes four short double-helical elements and three loops (D, anti-codon, and T loops). Further hydrogen bonds mediate the characteristic L-shaped molecular structure. tRNAs have two regions of fundamental functional importance: the anti-codon, which is responsible for specific mRNA codon recognition, and the 3' end, to which the tRNAs corresponding amino acid is attached (by aminoacyl-tRNA synthetases). tRNAs cope with the degeneracy of the genetic code in two manners: having more than one tRNA (with a specific anti-codon) for a particular amino acid; and 'wobble' base-pairing, i.e. permitting non-standard base-pairing at the 3rd anti-codon position.
Source: RNAcentral